CAAAAACAUGUCUUUUUGAUUAUAAUUUAAAGUCUAACCUGCCCAAUGAGGAGUUAAAUGGCCGCGGUAAUUUGACCGUGCAAAGGUAGCAUAAUCAUUAGUUUUUUAAUUGAAAGCUGGAAUGAAUGGUUGGACGAGAAAAUAACUGUCUCAAUUUAAUUGGAAUUAGAAUUUUAUUUAUAAGUAAAAAAGCUUAUAUGAAUUUAAAAGACGAGAAGACCCUAUAGAAUUUAAUAUAUUAAUAUGUUUAUUAUUUUAGAAUUUUUAUUUAUAUAUAUAGAAGUAUAUUUUGUUGGGGCGAUAGAAAAAUUGAUUAAACUUUUUUUAUAUUUUAACAUUAAUGUAUGUGUAAGUGAUCCGUUUAUUACGAUUAAAAGAUUAAAUUACCUUAGGGAUAACAGCGUAAUUUUUUUUUAGAGUUCUUAUCGAAAAAAGAGUUUGCGACCUCGAUGUUGGAUUAAAAUUAACUUUUGGUGUAGGGGCU
RNAcentral lists this ribosomal RNA (484 nucleotides) under Xylotrupes florensis. RNAcentral describes it as "partial large subunit ribosomal RNA". It matches the Rfam family "Bacterial large subunit ribosomal RNA", at positions 1808 to 2563 of the family's 2925-position model. Lineage: Eukaryota; Metazoa; Arthropoda; Insecta; Coleoptera; Scarabaeidae. The record is from RNAcentral.